This 477-nucleotide ribosomal RNA is filed under the name uncultured organism. RNAcentral describes it as "partial 16S ribosomal RNA". It matches the Rfam family "Bacterial small subunit ribosomal RNA", at positions 333 to 801 of the family's 1533-position model. The record is from RNAcentral.
ACACUCCUACGGGAGGCAGCAGUAGGGAAUCUUCGGCAAUGGGGGCAACCCUGACCGAGCAACGCCGCGUGAGUGAAGAAGGUUUUCGGAUCGUAAAGCUCUGUUGUAAGUCAAGAACGAGUGUGAGAGUGGAAAGUUCACACUGUGACGGUAGCUUACCAGAAAGGGACCGCUAACUACGUGCCAGCAGCCGCGGUAAUACGUAGGUCCCGAGCGUUGUCCGGAUUUAUUGGGCGUAAAGCGAGCGCAGGCGGUUUGAUAAGUCUGAAGUUAAAGGCUGUGGCUCAACCAUAGUUCGCUUUGGAAACUGUCAAACUUGAGUGCAGAAGGGGAGAGUGGAAUUCCAUGUGUAGCGGUGAAAUGCGUAGAUAUAUGGAGGAACACCGGUGGCGAAAGCGGCUCUCUGGUCUGUAACUGACGCUGAGGCUCGAAAGCGUGGGGAGCGAACAGGAUUAGAAACCCCGGUAGUCCCAUGAU